This 253-nucleotide ribosomal RNA is filed under the name uncultured bacterium. RNAcentral describes it as "partial 16S ribosomal RNA". It matches the Rfam family "Bacterial small subunit ribosomal RNA", at positions 524 to 776 of the family's 1533-position model. The record is from RNAcentral.
GACAGUGGGGGCGAGCGUUGUGCGGAGUCACUGGGCGUAAAGCGCGCGCAGGCGGCAACCUAAGGGUCGUGUGAGAGCCCCCGGCUCAACCGGGGGAGGCCAUGGCAAACUGGGUCGCUCGAGCUGCGGAGAGGCCCCUCGAAUUGCCGGUGUAGCGGUGAAAUGCGUAGAGAUCGGCAGGAAGACCAAGGGGGAAGCCAGGGGGCUGGCCGCAGGCUGACGCUGAGGCGCGACAGCGUGGGGAGCAAACCGG